RNAcentral lists this transfer RNA (72 nucleotides) under Pseudochirulus canescens (Lowland ringtail). RNAcentral's name for it is "tRNA-Asn". It matches the Rfam family "tRNA". From Rfam's summary of the family: Transfer RNA (tRNA) molecules are approximately 80 nucleotides in length. The record is from RNAcentral. Lineage: Eukaryota; Metazoa; Chordata; Mammalia; Diprotodontia; Pseudocheiridae.
UAAAUUGAGACCAAAAGUUUAGGUACUUAGCUGUUAACUAAGAUAUAGUGGGAUAAAUACCCUCCAAUUUAG